This 468-nucleotide ribosomal RNA is filed under the name uncultured bacterium. RNAcentral describes it as "partial 16S ribosomal RNA". It matches the Rfam family "Bacterial small subunit ribosomal RNA", at positions 28 to 507 of the family's 1533-position model. The record is from RNAcentral.
GACGAACGCUGGCGGCGUGCUUAACACAUGCAAGUCGAACGGAAAGGCCCUGCUUAUGUGGGGUGCUCGAGUGGCGAACGGGUGAGUAACACGUGAGUAACCUGCCCUUGACUUUGGGAUAACUUCAGGAAACUGGGGCUAAUACCGGAUAGGAGCUCCUGCUGCAUGGUGGGGGUUGGAAAGUUUAGGCGGUUGGGGAUGGACUCGCGGCUUAUCAGCUUGUUGGUGGGGUAGUGGCUUACCAAGGCUUUGACGGGUAGCCGGCCUGAGAGGGUGACCGGCCACAUUGGGCCUGGGAUGCGGCCCAGACUCCUACGGGAGGCAGCAGUGGGGAAUAUUGCACUAUGGGCGGAAGCCUGAUGCAGCACCGCCGCGUGCGGGAUGACGGCCUUCGGGUUGUAAUCCGCUUCCGCCUGUGACGAAGCGUGAGUGACGGUAAUGGGUAAAGAAGCACCGGCUAACUACGUG